AUACGUAGGUGGCAAGCGUUGUCCGGAAUUAUUGGGCGUAAAGCGCAUGUAGGCGGUAAUUUAAGUCUGUCGUGAAACUGCGGGGCUCAGCCCCGUAUGGCGAUGGAAACUGGGUUAAUUGAGUGCAGGAGAGGAAAGGGGAACUCCCAGUGUAGCGGGGAAAUGCGUAGAUAUUGGGAAGAAAACCGGUGGCGAAGGCGCCUUUCUGGACUGUGUUUGACGCGGAGAGGCGAAAGACAGGGUGGCGAGCGGGAUUAGAUACCCCGGUAGUCCUGGCCGUAAACGAUGGGUACUAGGUGUGGGGGGUAUCGACCCCUUCCGUGCCGGAGUUAACGCAAUAAGUACCCCGCCUGGGGAGUACGGCCGCAAGGCUUAAACUCAAAGGAAUUGACGGGG
Molecule: ribosomal RNA, 396 nt
Filed under: uncultured bacterium
Lineage: Bacteria
Description: partial 16S ribosomal RNA
Rfam family: Bacterial small subunit ribosomal RNA
Source: RNAcentral